RNAcentral lists this ribosomal RNA (313 nucleotides) under uncultured Spirotrichea. Its description in RNAcentral is "SSU rRNA". It matches the Rfam family "Eukaryotic small subunit ribosomal RNA", at positions 155 to 469 of the family's 1831-position model. Lineage: Eukaryota; Ciliophora; Spirotrichea. The record is from RNAcentral.
AUUCUAGAGCUAAUACAUGCUGGUGUGCCUGACUUUUCGGAAGGGCGGUAUUUAUUAGAUAACGAACCAAUAUUCCUCUGGUCUAUUGUGGUGAAUCAUAAUAACUGAUCGAAUCGCAAAGCCUUUGGCUGCGAUAUGUCAUUCAAGUUUCUGCCCCAUCAGCUUUCGAUGGUAGUGUAUUGGACUACCAUGGCUUUUACGGGUAACGGAGAAUUAGGGUUCGAUUCCGGAGAGGGAGCCUGAGAAACGGCUACCACAUCUAAGGAAGGCAGCAGGCGCGUAAAUUACCCAAUCCUGACUCAGGGAGGUAGUG